Molecule: long non-coding RNA, 3729 nt
Organism: Brachypodium distachyon (stiff brome)
Lineage: Eukaryota; Viridiplantae; Streptophyta; Magnoliopsida; Poales; Poaceae
Exons: 3
Source: RefSeq, a predicted model, not a curated record
CCGUUUUUCCCUUUCUAUUCUCAGCCCCGACUUGCACGCCCACCCCCGUCCUCCUUCCCUUCCACUGAGGCCGCAGCCGCCGCCUCCCCUCCGCAGCCCUCCUUUGCCACGCCUCAGCCAGCCUCGCCCGCGAACCUUCUCCGGGCGUCCUCAGCCCGCCUCGCCCGCGUGCGCUCGCCACCCCCACGCCGUCCACCGUCGCGCCCGUGCGAGCCCGAGCCAUCUCCAUGCCGCGACCCCGUCGUCCGCCGUCCUCCCUUGCGCCAUCGCAAGCCCCCGCUGUCCACCGUCGCGACCGGGACCCUGACGUCUCGCCAUCCCUGUGAUCUCCCCUCCUCCCCAUCGAGGCGCCGCCACCGAUUCGUCCAGGCCCGACGCCUAGUCCUCUCGCCCCACCGCCACCGCCGCCCCCUUUCUCCGUCGUGCCCGUCCCUUUUGAUACCUGGGGACCAAUCAAAUUGGGUUGAAGCUUAGCUAGGCCUGCACAGGAAUACUACACACGAACACAUAUGUUUUCGAAAUAUAAUCAGGAAGCAGCAGGUAGAUUUGUUAUUGCAAUGAGUUUUUCUUGGGUUGAUUUCUGGAGUACCAGAGAAGUUACAAGGACAAUGCUUUUCCUUAAUUUAACAAUAUCCACUCAAGAUUUACUAUUACUAAUCCAUGAUUGCUUUGAAAUCUUUCCUUCAAUGGUUAACAAGUGCUUGUCAUAGUUCAGACUUAGAGUGAACAAAUGUAAAUCUGAGGUGAAAAAUAGGUGAUUCUCAUUUUCUGAUGGCACCAUCUUACCAGUACCAGUGAAAAUACUUGUACAUAUUGGUACAUUUUGGGAUUCUGGAGCUUCAGGAGCAAUGCUAAGUUUAUGUGAAGAAACAUCUAGAUUUUUGGGAGAAAAGUGUAUGAAGAAUGACUUGUUUCUAAAGAACCGACAGCGUUCGAGUGAGCUGGUCAUCCCUAGCUGGUUGGCCUAACCAUAUAGCAAUAGGUUUGUUAACUUUGUAAUGGUGUACCGGCACCAAUACCCUCUACUUUUAUUACCGAUGGGUUUGCUAGCUUUGCGGUCACCAAUUGCCCUCUACUUUUAUCUAGCUUUGCCAACAGGCAACAAUUUUUAUGCAGCUUCAAAUAUUUGUCUCCCUUAGCUGCAUUGGAAACACAAGGGCACUAUAACAAAAGAGGUAAUCUUUUUCUUCCUAAUCACAAAUUUUUAUGCAGCUUCAAAUUAUUGUCUCUUCUAUGUUGUUACUCAAGGCAUAUUGUGUGGUGGAUAAUCUCAUGACCCAGAGAGUUAAACAGGCAAGCAUUAUGACCACCAAAAAUUUAUCUUUGUUAGAAUUGUUUCCAAUCCUUUAUUGAUGUUGUUAAUUUAACUCUCAUUUUUGUGGGGCUUUUAAUUUAACUCUCUUUUUUUGUGGGGCUUUUAAUUUAACUCUCUCUUUUUUGUGGGGCUUUUAAUUUAACUCUCUUUGUCUGUUUUUAUUAUUGACAUGUGCCCUCAAUUUCUGCAUGUUGCAAUUAGACUAUUUGCGUGCAGUGGGCAAGUUUAUCUCUGCACUUGUGCAACUCUAGCUGACACAGUGCCAUGCUCUCUCAAGGGUAGAAAACAGACCAUGCAGAAUUCCUCUCCCAGUGCUGGAAAAAGGCAGCAAAGUGAUCCAUAUUAUUUACUGGAAUCCGGGGACAAGACACGGUAAAAUGAUAGAGUUCCCUUUAAGUUUCUGCGUGUCUUCAGAUUUUGAAUUCGAAAAAGAAAAUGGUGUUUCAUCUUUAAAGCUUAUUUUUCAUGUACCUCCAACUAUCAAGUUUGUAUUAGACGGAGAAAUGACACCUUAUUUACUUGUGAUGGAUCUGAUUUUACAAGCCAGAAAAUAAUCUUGGUUAUGCUAAAAUUUCUCAUCUCCUCGGUAUUUACUCAUUGUAACUGGGGAUGUCUCAUCCUAGGUGAUAUCUCUUUACAGGUUAUUGGCAAAAAAUCUGCAGCGGUGCAACAUACAAAUCAAUGGAGUUAGUUGUAUGUUUCAUCUUCAUAAUAACUGUAUUAAGCAAUUGUCAUAUCAUGUAUGAUGAUCAAAUCAAACAUAUAGAUCCUUUAGUGACUUCAAAUUUGAACACCACCAAAGCUACUACUCUCCUGCAAUUGACUUCUAAUUAUUUUUUCUAUGUAGCUUGCCUUAGAGUUUAGAUAAAGUCGAUAGCAUGUAUGGAGCACAACAAUCUCUAAUUAUCUCGUACAGAAGCUUAUGACCAACUCUUUUGCUAACUAUCUCGUAUAGAAGCUGCUGGAUGUUUGUGAUGAGGAGCAGAGGCUGGGUAUCAUCGCUAUACUGACUGAGGACCCUGUGAAGCUGGUGAAAAUCUCCCUAAAAACCCAUGGGUAAUGAUCUUCUCUUCAAAACUGAUCAAUUAAGUGCAUUAUGUUCCUGACAGUAGAAGUAACUGGACUUGUAACCAAUAUAUUGAUUUGAGAAUAUUGUGAUUUAGUUUGGACAAGUAUACUGGCAGCAGAACAAGUUUUCUAUGAUGCUUGCAUCUUGUCAAUGACCUUAAUGUGAAUCAUGUCAUACAGUAAUGCUUGACAAACUUUGGUGCACAGGAGAACAAGGUAAAUAUAAGUGCUUAGUUUACAGUCUGGUUUUUAUUAUGUAGUGUAGUAUCACCUUGAUUAGCUAUUUAUUGUUAGAUUGUUACCUUUGACCAAUUAUUAGUUUUCAUAUUUUCUCACAAAUGCAACUCCAUCUAGUAUCGGAUCAAAGGAAUUUACUUGCUAUGUUGUGUGGACAAUGCCACAUUCUGCAGAAUCUAGGGUGCUGCAAAAUGGAUGUCCUCCUUUUGCAUUAAAAACACCUCACCUGCAGCCCUUACUUUUUUUCCACAUAUAAGCUUUCACUGAAAUACGAUAGCUUCAAAGUAUCUUUUUUUGAAGCCGCUUUUUUGCAUCUGAAGUUACUAUUCAGUUUUGCAUACCGCGCUCACUUCCCUCUUGAUAUUUCGUACGUGCGAUCAUGAAGCAUACCAGUCAGCUAAUUGCUACAGCCUGAAACAUUCAUGAUCAAUUUCAGUUCCCAAUUUUACUCGCCAAUUUUUACCGCAGAAUUCUAAAAUCUCUUUAUCUAUGUAGGCACUACUUCUAGCAUGACAUGAUGAACAGGGCUUUUCUGAUGAUGGCUACAUAGUAGCUAAUUGCUACGGUGAAAGGCUACAUUAUCCAAUACCGACGGCGAGUAUUUUCUACAUGCUCAUUUGUACCAACUUUGCACAUCAUUUUUUUAUGACGCAGGUGUAGGACGGUUUCAAGCUCAGACAACGAUUUUUGGUACAUAUUUUGAAGUACAAAUUCAACGAAGUUGUAAACAAUAUCUAAUAUCAACAAGGUAUACCUUCUUUUUCGGGAGUCCAUCUGAAAGGAAUCUCAAAGAUAAGCGUGCUUGGCCAAGAGCAAUUUGAGGAUAGGUGACUAAUCAGAAAGUUUCUCCCAGGGCGUGCUUGGCCAAGGGCAAUUUGAGAAUGGGUGAUUGAUCGGAAAGUUUCUCCCAUGAGCGCAUGAGUGAGCACAAAGUGCGCUAGAAAGACAUGUGUUGGUAUGUGGGACCAAUCUAGAAGCUUAGAGAGCUGCCAGGAGUGACGAUGUGGCGUUACAUUGAAUACUUGUAUUUUAAGUAUUGCUUCCAAUUUAUGCCGAGUUUUAAUAUUUCUAUACCUAAUUAUAAUAUAUUUAUGUGCUCGCGGAUUUUA